AAGAACUUAGGUUAAUUGUAGACCAAAGGCCUUCAAAGCCUUCAGCGGGAGUUAAAAUCUCCCAGUCCUUG
RNAcentral lists this transfer RNA (71 nucleotides) under Pseudanthias dispar (peach fairy basslet). Its description in RNAcentral is "tRNA-Trp". It matches the Rfam family "tRNA". From Rfam's summary of the family: Transfer RNA (tRNA) molecules are approximately 80 nucleotides in length. The record is from RNAcentral. Lineage: Eukaryota; Metazoa; Chordata; Actinopteri; Perciformes; Anthiadidae.